CAAAUGUAUCAUAGCUUUAUUUGUUAUACAUACAAAAGUGAGAUAUCCAUCAUAAUGUUUGCCUUACUACAUUUGAUACAUGGAUACUAAUAAGUAAGGUAUAAAAGUCAAUGUCUCUAACGACUUUUGUACAAAAUAAGAGACUAAUAUGUAAUUUAGGAUGCUGAUAAUACUAAAUUACAUAAAAUAAUUUAUCAGCUAAAUAUGUAGAAAUCUUGUUUUGUUACUUGUUUGGACGCGGGUUCAAAUCCCGCCAGCUCCACUA
This 265-nucleotide transfer-messenger RNA is filed under the name Candidatus Bostrichicola ureolyticus. Its description in RNAcentral is "partial transfer-messenger RNA". It matches the Rfam family "transfer-messenger RNA", at positions 101 to 374 of the family's 374-position model. Rfam says of the family: Bacterial tmRNA, also known as 10Sa RNA or SsrA, is named for its dual tRNA and mRNA-like properties. Its role is to liberate the mRNA from a stalled ribosome. Lineage: Bacteria; Pseudomonadati; Bacteroidota; Flavobacteriia. The record is from RNAcentral.